This 497-nucleotide ribosomal RNA is filed under the name uncultured bacterium. RNAcentral's name for it is "partial 16S ribosomal RNA". It matches the Rfam family "Bacterial small subunit ribosomal RNA", at positions 28 to 507 of the family's 1533-position model. The record is from RNAcentral.
GAUGAACGCUGGCGGCGUGCCUAAUACAUGCAAGUCGAGCGAACGGACGAGAAGCUUGCUUCUCUGAUGUUAGCGGCGGAAGGGUGAGUAACACGUGGAUAACCUACCUAUAAGACUGGGAUAACUUCGGGAAACCGGAGCUAAUACCGGAUAAUAUUUUGAACCGCAUGGUUCAAAAGUGAAAGACGGUCUUGCUGUCACUUAUAGAUGGAUCCGCGCUGCAUUAGCUAGUUGGUAAGGUAACGGCUUACCAAGGCAACGAUGCAUAGCCGACCUGAGAGGGUGAUCGGCCACACUGGAACUGAGGCACGGUCCAGACUCCUACGGGAGGCAGCAGUAGGGAAUCUUCCGCAAUGGGCGAAAGCCUGACGUAGCAACGCCGCGUGAGUGAUGAAGGUCUUCGGAUCGUAAAACUCUGUUAUUAGGGAAGAACAUAUGUGUAAGUAACUGUGCACAUCUUGACGGUACCUAAUCAGAAAGCCACGGCUAACUACGUG